This is a long non-coding RNA of Canis lupus familiaris (dog), 977 nucleotides long. RefSeq lists it as uncharacterized. The transcript has 2 exons. The record is from RefSeq and is a predicted model, not a curated record. NCBI's taxonomy places the organism in Eukaryota, Metazoa, Chordata, Mammalia, Carnivora, Canidae.
GCCAAUGGCGGGGCGGGAGGAGCCGCGGGGCGGGGCCAACGUUCCUGAAGCCUGGGAAGCCUUGAACAAAGGCCAACAGAGUUUUCAGCAGCUCCUGACCACUGCCCUAGUAAGACCCCAGUCCCCCUUAAAGUGCCUGCCCGUGAAACUCAAGGCUGUCUAAAGAAUUUGCUGCUUAUUCCAGCCACCACCUGAAGAUAGGGCCCCUGUUUCCCAGCUUCUGUGAGAGAGUAGGAGUCUAGCUUUGGUGCUAGAAGCCCACAAACCACAUUUCACAGAUUCCCUUGACAGCAGAGUUCUGCCAACAAAAUGUACCUGUGUGAAAUCUAGGAGGUGAAAAGGAGGUGGAAACCAUUCUUUCCUCCUCUGCAGCAGCAGAUGUGCAGGCUACAUAUUGGGACUGCAUGUUGCCAGUCAAGGCUUGGGACCAUGGAGUGCUGCAGUGACUUCAGCAGUGGGUUCCCGAAGUGUACUGCCUUUUGAGUGGCAGCAGCAGCUUUGAAUGUAUGGAAAGUAGCUGUGGUAAAGUAACCUGACAUUCACCACUGCUAGCCCCACAGUGGUGAGCAUCCAUUCCUUGUAAGACAUUAUGACCAGAGCUGAUACCAAGGGAUGGAUGCUUAACCAUCUGAGCCACCCUGGCAUCCCAGAAGUGGAGGGAGUUGUGCUUCUUCCACAGAUUGCACUUCAUUAUCCCUGUGCUUCAUUAUCUGUGUUGGUUGAGGAAGGCAGUAGUAGGUUUGGUGGUGGGUGGCUUUGGGAGAGAGCCUGGUAGCACACAUCUGACCCUCAGUGGAGUCAGGAGAGGCCAGUAGGGUGGUCCAUGAGAAUGGGUAAGUGGCACCACCAAUAUAUUUUCUGAAAUAAAGGCGUGAGGAGGGCAGUCUUGGGUAAUUACCACCCUCACACAUUUUUCUUUACCCUAGCCUUCCAGCCCCUCCCUGCUAGCUAUCCAAGGGUUGGGAUUUUUUUUUUUU